RNAcentral lists this ribosomal RNA (253 nucleotides) under uncultured bacterium. RNAcentral's name for it is "partial 16S ribosomal RNA". It matches the Rfam family "Bacterial small subunit ribosomal RNA", at positions 524 to 776 of the family's 1533-position model. The record is from RNAcentral.
UACGGGGGGGGCAAGCGUUGUUCGGAAUUACUGGGCGUAAAGGGCUCGUAGGCGGCCAACUAAGUCAGACGUGAAAUCCCUCGGCUUAACCGGGGAACUGCAUCUGAUACUGGAUGGCUUGAGAUUGGGAGAGGGAUGCGGAAUUCCAGGUGUAGCGGUGAAAUGCGUAGAUAUCUGGAGGAACACCGGUGGCGAAGGCGGCAUCCUGGACCAACACUGACGCUGAGGAACGAAAGCCAGGGGAGCAAACGGG